Molecule: ribosomal RNA, 494 nt
Filed under: uncultured bacterium
Lineage: Bacteria
Description: partial 16S ribosomal RNA
Rfam family: Bacterial small subunit ribosomal RNA
Source: RNAcentral
GACGAACGCUGGCGGCGUGCUUAACACAUGCAAGUCGAACGGAGAAGCGCCUUCCUUUCUGGUGGGUGUGGAUGAGUGGCGAACGGGUGAGCAACACGUGAGUCACCUGCUCACUUUUUCUGGACAACCGCAUGACAGUGUGGCUAAUACGGGAUAUUCUGGGCCUGUCGCUUGAUGGGUCUGGGAAAGAUAUUGUUUCGGUGGGGGAUGGGUUCGCGGCCUAUCAGCUUGUUGGUGGGGUGAUGGCCUACCAAGGCGAUGAUGAGUAGCCGGCCUGAGAGGGUGGGCGAUCACGCAAGUGCUGCGACGCGGACCAGACUCCGACAGGAGGCAGUAGGGAAGAAUAUGGCACGGUGGGCGGAAGGCUGGUGCAGCGACGCCGCGGGAAUGAUGGAGGCCGGCUGGUUGUAAUCCUCUUUCGGCAGUGAAGCAGGCCGGCCUCGUUUGUGGGUGGGUUGACGGUAGCUGAAUAGAAAGCGCCGGCUAACUACGUG